This 74-nucleotide transfer RNA is filed under the name Candidatus Desantisbacteria bacterium CG1_02_38_46. RNAcentral's name for it is "tRNA-Thr". It matches the Rfam family "tRNA". From Rfam's summary of the family: Transfer RNA (tRNA) molecules are approximately 80 nucleotides in length. Their secondary structure includes four short double-helical elements and three loops (D, anti-codon, and T loops). Further hydrogen bonds mediate the characteristic L-shaped molecular structure. tRNAs have two regions of fundamental functional importance: the anti-codon, which is responsible for specific mRNA codon recognition, and the 3' end, to which the tRNAs corresponding amino acid is attached (by aminoacyl-tRNA synthetases). tRNAs cope with the degeneracy of the genetic code in two manners: having more than one tRNA (with a specific anti-codon) for a particular amino acid; and 'wobble' base-pairing, i.e. permitting non-standard base-pairing at the 3rd anti-codon position. Lineage: Bacteria; Candidatus Desantisiibacteriota. The record is from RNAcentral. RNAcentral also lists the same sequence under 2 other names.
GCCCAUGUAGCUCAGACGGUAAGAGCACGUCCUUGGUAAGGACGAGGUCACCGGUUCAAUUCCGGUCGUGGGCU